This 253-nucleotide ribosomal RNA is filed under the name uncultured bacterium. Its description in RNAcentral is "partial 16S ribosomal RNA". It matches the Rfam family "Bacterial small subunit ribosomal RNA", at positions 524 to 776 of the family's 1533-position model. The record is from RNAcentral.
UACGGGGGGGGCAAGCGUUGUUCGGAAUUACUGGGCGUAAAGGGCUCGUAGGCGGCCAACUAAGUCAGACGUGAAAUCCCUCGGCUUAACCGGGGAACUGCGUCUGAUACUGGAUGGCUUGAGAUUGGGAGAGGGAUGCGGAAUUCCAGGUGUAGCGGUGAAAUGCGUAGAUAUCGCUUGGAACGCCGACGGCGAAAGCAGUCUGCUGGGGGCCUUCUGACGCUGAGACACGAAAGCCAGGGGAGCGAACGGG